GUUAGGAAUAUUGGACAAUGGGCGCAAGCCUGAUCCAGCAAUGCCGCGUGCAGGAAGAAGGCCUUCGGGUUGUAAACUGCUUUUGUACGGAACGAAACGGUCCUGGUUAAUACCUGGGGCUAAUGACGGUACCGUAAGAAUAAGUACCGGCUAACUACGUGCCAGCAGCCGCGGUAAUACGUAGGGUGCGAGCGUUAAUCGGAAUUACUGGGCGUAAAGCGUGCGCAGGCGGUUUUGUAAGACAGGCGUGAAAUCCCCGGGCUCAACCUGGGAAUUGCGCUUGUGACUGCAAGGCUGGAGUGCGGCAGAGGGGGAUGGAAUUCCGCGUGUAGCAGUGAAAUGCGUAGAUAUGCGGAGGAACACCGAUGGCGAAGGCAAUCCCCUGGGCCUGCACUGACGCUCAUGCACGAAAGCGUGGGGAGCAAACAGGAUUAGAAACCCCGGUAGUCC
This 450-nucleotide ribosomal RNA is filed under the name uncultured bacterium. RNAcentral's name for it is "bacterial SSU rRNA". It matches the Rfam family "Bacterial small subunit ribosomal RNA", at positions 354 to 796 of the family's 1533-position model. The record is from RNAcentral.